Molecule: ribosomal RNA, 406 nt
Filed under: uncultured bacterium
Lineage: Bacteria
Description: partial 16S ribosomal RNA
Rfam family: Bacterial small subunit ribosomal RNA
Source: RNAcentral
AUUGAACGCUGGCGGCAGGCCUAACACAUGCAAGUCGAACGAGUGGCGGACGGGUGAGUAAUGUCUGGGAAACUGCCCGAUGGAGGGGGAUAACUACUGGUAACGGUAGCUAAUACCGCAUACCAUCGGAUGUGCCCAGAUGGGAUUAGCUAGUAGGUGGGGUAACGGCUCACCUAGGCGACGAUCCCUAGCUGGGCUGAGAGGAUGACCAGCCAAACUGGAACGGAGACACGGUCCAGACUCAUGCGGGGGACAGCAGUGGGGAUUAUUGCACAAUGGGCGAAAGCCUGAUGCAGCCAUGCCGCGUGUAUGAAGAAGGCCUUCGGGUUGUAAAGUACUUUCAGCGAGGAGGCGUUACUCGCAGAAGAAGCACCGGAUAACUCCGUGCCAGCCGCCGCGGUAAUAC